This is a long non-coding RNA of Gadus macrocephalus (Pacific cod), 1074 nucleotides long. RefSeq lists it as uncharacterized. The record is from RefSeq and is a predicted model, not a curated record. Lineage: Eukaryota; Metazoa; Chordata; Actinopteri; Gadiformes; Gadidae. The transcript has 3 exons.
UACGUCCACACCAGAAGCGAAUUGAGCGACCAAAUCGCCGGAAGUCAUUCAAUCUCUAUGGGCAAGAGCGACCAAAGUUGAGCGACCAGAGCGUCCAAAAAAAGUUGAAAACUUUUUAACUUUAUGCAAAUUACUAUGACGCGCUUCAGCGGCCAAACACUGACAGCCAAUCGGAAUGUAGACGCUCUUCGCUUGCGUGGAUCCCAGGGAACACCGGCAGGCACUUUGGUUCCUACCUACCUUUAUUCACUCACUGAACAAAAUGUCGGCUGAAGUAUUAAUCGCGGCUGUAACUGGGCCCCCGGUGUUGUACGACCCAACCCUUUUUCAGUUCAGAGAUCGAAACGCCAAGGCUCUGGCCUGGGCGGAGGUGUCACGCGUGGUUGGUUGGUCUGCUUUUAUCCAAAGCAACUUACAAUAAGUCAUUUGACAUAAGAAGUGAAACAAUAUAUUGCUGUAAGUGACAUAUAUAAUGAUAAUGACAGCUGUGUUUUCUGUUUUGUGUUCAAUAGUUAAUGAGUGCAUCAAGAAAUGGAAGGGUCUGAGGGACACCUACAGGAAGAAUAGGAAAAAGGAAAAGGAAAGGAGGAGGAGUGGUGCAGGGGCAGGUGGAGGGAAGCCAUGGAAGUAUGCCCGCAUAAUGGCCUUCAUAGAUCCAUUCAUGGAAGACCGCCAUAGCCAGACCAACAUGGCAGGGCCAGUGAGUGAGAGUGAGGAGGACACAGACCAGGCAGCACCAGGGAGAGCAACGAUCGAGGACCAGGAGGCACCAGGGAGAGCACAGGCCGCUGACCAGCUAGCACCACAGGCCGAGGAGCAGGCAGCAGGAAAGAGCAGGAGAAAGACAGGACGAGGCAGAGACCAGACUCGUGAUGCUCUUGAUGCGGAGAGGCUCAUCACAGCUAUAGAGGCUGUUAGCAAUCGAGUAGUGAGUCAGAGUCAUCCAGAGGACUCUGACUCACUAUUCUUUCGAAGCCUCCAAGAGGAUUUCAAAAAGUUGUCUCUUAAGACUAGAGGGUCUAAAGUUCGAAAUGUACAGGAUGGUGUACGAGGCCAAGUGUCGUGAGGUUGACA